AUGCUCAUGCUGCUGCUCCUCCCGCUCGCCUUCUUCUUGCUGCGCCCAACUACAGCCACCGGCAGCAGCGGAAGCUGCACGCCGGAGUCAUGCGGGGACCUGACCAUCAGAUACCCCUUCUCCCUCGCUGGAGUGCAGCCACUCUACUGUGGCUACCCAUCCUUCGAGCUCACCUGCGACACGGGCACCGGCCCCGCCUACCUGAGCAACACGUUCAGGGAGCACCUGUUCCGCGUCGACAACAUCUCCUACGCGGACAACUCCAUGGUGGCCGCCGUGCAGACAGCCUUCGCCGGCGACACCGGCUGUCCCGUCCCCGACUUCAACGUGACGGCCAGCCUCGCCCUCUUCCCGUUCAACAUCAGCGCCACAAACAAGCGCCUCGUGUUCUUCUACAACUGCACCGUGCCCGCUAGGUUCAUGCUGCGGCGGCUGUGUGCCAACAACACGAUGGGGGCGUACAUUUCCGGUCUUUGGGGCAGCAGUGAAGGCAGCACGCUGCCGCAGGGGGUUCCCACAAACUGUAUCUCUGUGAGCGUGCCGGUGCGCAGAGGGAUGGAGCCUCAUAUGCACUACGCGCAGCUGAUCAGAGAUGGGUUCCUCCUGGAGCUGCCGGCGCCGCUGGGAGACUGCUACAGAUGCAGACAGAUGAGCGGCGGGGAGUGCAGGUUCGAUCAGUUUGCGUUCCAGUGCGUCUGCCCCGACGGGAAGCUCUGCCCCAUUACCAAUACCACCCAAGUGACCAACUCAACAGCUCAUCCAGGUAACAAAAGGGCUGGCACAAAGAUACUACUAAUAGGUUUGACAUCAGCAGGUGCAGCACUGCUCUUUCCUUGUAUCUAUGUGCUGAUAUGGUAUAUGAGGGGAAAAAGAAACUGGUUUCUCCUCUGGAAAAAGAAUAGCAGCAGCACUGAAAGGCAUUACAAGGCCAUGAUAGUAUCAUAUGGGCCGCUUGCUCCAAAAAGAUACAUGUACUCAGAGGUAAUGAAGAUAACAUCUUUUCGCAAUAAGAAGCUUGGUCAGGGUGGUUACGGUGUAGUUUUUGAAGGAAAGCUACAAGAUGGUCGUCUGGUUGCUGUGAAAUUCUUGCAUGACUGCAAAGGAAAUGGGGAGGAGUUUGUAAAUGAGGUUAUGAGCAUUGGCAGGACCUCUCAUGUGAAUAUUGUUAGACUGUUUGGCUUUUGUUUGGAGGGAUCAAAACGAGCUCUUAUAUAUGAGUACAUGUGCAAUGGUUCCCUGGAUAGAUACAUUUACUCAGAGAACCCAAAAGAAAUUUUAGGAUGGGAGAGGCUCUAUGCGAUAGCAAUCGGGAUAGCUCGUGGACUGGAAUAUUUGCAUCAUAGUUGUAAUACACGGAUCAUCCAUUUUGACAUUAAGCCCCAAAAUAUCCUUCUAGACAAAUAUUACUGCCCCAAGAUUGCCGACUUCGGUCUUGCUAAGCUCUGUCGUACCAAGGAGAGCAAGCUUUCAAUGAUUGGUCCUAGAGGAACAAUUGGAUUCAUUGCUCCAGAAGUUCACUCACGAAACUUUGGACUUGUUUCAACAAAGUCAGAUGUUUAUAGUUAUGGAAUGAUGUUGCUAGAGAUGGUUGGAGGCAGGAAAAAUGUGAAAUCUGUGGCUGAACAAUCAAGCGAAAAGUAUUUCCCAGAUUGGAUUUAUGAUCACUUUGCUCGAGAUGAUGGAUUAGAGGCAUGUGAAGUUACAAGUGACAUUGAGGAAAUUGCAAGAAAGAUGACCUUGAUUGGCUUGUGGUGCAUACAAGUAUUACCUGUGUAUCGCCCUACUAUAACCAAAGUUCUAGAAAUGUUCGAGAGAAGCUUAGAUGAUAUGGCCAUGCCACCAAAGCAGAACUUCAGUGGACUACUCGAAAAUGCAGCUCAUAAUAUGAAUGUACAAAGUGCAAGCUCUACGACAUCUGAGGAGAUAAGGCUUGUGAAUUCAGGAAACACACAACAAUUUCCACCUCUUUGA
RNAcentral lists this ribosomal RNA (1971 nucleotides) under Triticum aestivum (bread wheat). RNAcentral describes it as "partial small subunit ribosomal RNA". Lineage: Eukaryota; Viridiplantae; Streptophyta; Magnoliopsida; Poales; Poaceae. The record is from RNAcentral.